Molecule: ribosomal RNA, 1184 nt
Filed under: Idotea chelipes
Lineage: Eukaryota; Metazoa; Arthropoda; Malacostraca; Isopoda; Idoteidae
Description: partial 28S ribosomal RNA
Rfam family: Eukaryotic large subunit ribosomal RNA
Source: RNAcentral
CGCUAAACGGGGUGCCGCGUAUGGGAAGUUCGCAGAGCGAUUACGGCUCGUUCAAGUAUUUAUUGAACAUAGUCCAAGUGCCCAUAGAGGGUGUAAGGCCCGUUCGACGAGUCGUAAACGUCUCCCGCGUUCUUCCCGAGAGUCGGGUUGCUUGAGAAUGCAGCCCUAAGAGGUGGUAAACUCCAUCUAAGGCUAAAUACUUCCACGAGACCGAUAGCGAACAAGUACCGCGAGGGAAAGUUGAAAAGAACUUUGAAGAGAGAGUUCAAUAGAGCGUGAAACUGCCACGAGGUUAAAGCGGAUGGACGGUCGUGGCAGAACAGGGGGAUUCAACCCUCCGGACGUUUGUGAGGCGCUCGCGCGCGUGACGACCGACUCCUCGGCUUCUCUCGGUACUCGUUGCCAGGUUGUCGGGGAGGUUAAAACUGGCGUUCGCCGCGUUGCCGGUCUCCUCGUACUCGAAGGAGGGUUGUACCUUUCACCUUAGUAAGCCGUCGCGGUCGUUGUGGCGUUGUCGAUUACCCUUCGGUUCGGGAACCGACCCCCAAAGCUCUCCGGAAAAAUUUUUUUUCCGGUCCGCGAGUAGGGGCCGGGGACGCCGUUGGAAUACGACGGACGCCUGCGACGAUACUGAUAGCAGACGGGUCGGUUCAAUAAAGAAUUGGGCGGAGGUGGGGCUCUCCCGCGUUCUCUCACGAGUUCGCGAGAGCGUCACCCCUCGAUUAAACGCUCCGACCCGUGCGCGGCGCAUAUACGGCGCACGUCUAUCCGUCCCGUCUUGAAACACGGACCAAGGAGUCUAGCAAGUGCGCGAGUCAUAAGGGUUCACUAAACCUUAGAUGGCGUAACGAAAGUAAUGUAAGAUAUCGGUUUUGGGAGCAAUUCCAUAACCUCGUUGGACCGAUCCCCUCGGAAAUGCCUCGUUUUUCACCCUUCACGGGGUGGCGAGGCCGCUACCAAUGUAUGAGGGGCGCAGGUCCGGAGGCCCGCCAUAUUAUCCUCUCUCUCCGUUCUUAAAUCCGACCUCCCUCCUUCGCGGGGAUCAGUGGGCCGGGCGGGGAAGAAGAUAGGCGGGUUCCAAGAGCGUUCGUGCUAGUACCCGAAAGAUGGUGAUCUAUGCCUGGCCAGGAUGAAGCCAGAGGAAACUCUGGUGGAGGUCCGUAGCGGUUCUGACGUGCAAAUCG